Molecule: long non-coding RNA, 506 nt
Filed under: Phoenix dactylifera (date palm)
Lineage: Eukaryota; Viridiplantae; Streptophyta; Magnoliopsida; Arecales; Arecaceae
Description: long non-coding RNA (PDAC_LNC018504)
Source: RNAcentral
CGAGGUCGAGGGAGUCUGGUUCUCUACGGUCGACACUCGGGGCAUCCCGACCUUAGUCGAGGAACCGUUCGUCAGGGGAUUGGGGAUCGUCGACCGCUCCCGGGGGUCCACUUCGUGGCGCCCCGGGUGGAGCCACCCUUUCCACCCCUCGCGGCUUCUUCCCGAGGUCGAGGGAGUCUGGUUCUCUACGGUCGACCCUCGGGGCAUCCUGACCUUGGCCGGGAAAUCUGAGGAUCACAGACGACCCAACAUUAGAAGAGAAUUACAGCCAUCAAGAUAAGAGAAUUAUUUGCGAAAAGGAAGCUGAGUCCAUUGUCCUGAUUGUCUUGAACCCCCAGGGGUUUUACUGGCAGUACAUUCGUAGAUUCUCGGAGUUCCAGCUUCGCGGGAUCAGGGUCCCCUCUAGGGACUUCAAUUUGUACGCCCCUGGUCGUUGCACCCGGGCGAUCCGAUACGGCCCUUCCCAAUUUGGGGCGAGCUUUCCUUGCUCGGCUGGUCGAGAAGCC